This 1436-nucleotide ribosomal RNA is filed under the name uncultured marine microorganism. RNAcentral describes it as "bacterial SSU rRNA". It matches the Rfam family "Bacterial small subunit ribosomal RNA". The record is from RNAcentral.
AGGGUUCGAUCAUGGCUCAGAACGUACGCUGGCGGCACGCCUAACACAUGCAAGUCGAACGAAGUAGCAAUACUUAGUGGCAGACGGGUGAGUAACAUGUAGGUAUCUGCCCUUUGGCCUGGAAUAACACGAGGAAACUUGUGCUAAUACCGGAUAAGUCUUUACGGAGAAAGCUUUAUGCACCAUUGGAUGAGCCUGCACUUGAUUAGUUUGUUGGUGGGGUAAUGGCCUACCAAGACUGUGAUCAAUAGCUGAUUUGAGAGGAUGAUCAGCCACAUUGGGACUGAGACACGGCCCAAACUCCUACGGGAGGCAGCAGUGGGGAAUCUUGCACAAUGGAGGAAACUCUGAUGCAGCGAUGCCGCGUGAGUGAAGAAGGCCCUUGGGUUGUAAAGCUCUUUCGUCGGGGAAGAAAAUGACUGUACCCGAAUAAGAAGGUCCGGCUAACUUCGUGCCAGCAGCCGCGGUAAUACGAAGGGACCUAGCGUAGUUCGGAAUUACUGGGCUUAAAGAGUUCGUAGGUGGUUGAAAAAGUUGGUGGUGAAAUCCCAGAGCUUAACUCUGGAACUGCCAUCAAAACUUUUCAGCUAGAGUAUGAUAGAGGAAAGCAGAAUUUCUAGUGUAGAGGUGAAAUUCGUAGAUAUUAGAAAGAAUACCAAUUGCGAAGGCAGCUUUCUGGAUCAUUACUGACACUGAGGAACGAAAGCAUGGGUAGCGAAGAGGAUUAGAUACCCUCGUAGUCCAUGCCGUAAACGAUGUGUGUUAGACGUUGGAAAUUUAUUUUCAGUGUCGCAGCGAAAGCGAUAAACACACCGCCUGGGGAGUACGACCGCAAGGUUAAAACUCAAAUGAAUUGACGGGGACCCGCACAAGUAGUGGAGCAUGUGGUUUAAUUCGAAGAUACGCGCAGAACCUUACCAACACUUGACAUGUUCGUCGCGACUUUAAGAGAUUAAAGUUUUCGGUUCGGCCGGACGAAACACAGGUGCUGCAUGGCUGUCGUCAGCUCGUGUCGUGAGAUGUUGGGUUAAGUCCCGCAACGAGCGCAACCCUCACUUUUAGUUGCCAUCAUUUAGUUGGGCACUCUGAAAGAACUGCCAGUGAUAAGCUGGAGGAAGGUGGGGAUGACGUCAAGUCCUCAUGGCCCUUACGUGUUGGGCUACACACGUGCUACAAUGGUAUCUACAACAGGAAGCAAGACGGCGACGUCAAGCAAAUCCUUAAAAGAUACCUCAGUUCGGAUUGCACUCUGCAACUCGAGUGCAUGAAGCUGGAAUUACUAGUAAUCGUGGAUCAGCGUGCCACGGUGAAUGCGUUCCCGGGUCUUGUACACACCGCCCGUCACACCAUGGGAGUUGGUUCUACCUUAAGGCAAGGUUUAAAACCCUUGACCACGGUAUAGUCAGCGACUGGGGUGAAGUCGUAACAAGGUAGCC